GCAAAGUGUUGUGUGGGUCGGAUGAGUUGAUAACACCAGGAUAGUGGCUUAAAUGUCGGUGCCCAUGAACCUCUAGUGGUUGUUUGUUCCCAUUUCGUCAUACCGAGGGGGUUAUCAUCUGGGGCAGAGGACUGCCCUGCGUGUUUUCGUAUGAAUGAGCUUAACUGUAUAUGAGAGAAUUGGGAGGCCUCUGGUAUGUGGAAUUCC
Molecule: non-coding RNA, 207 nt
Organism: Pelobates cultripes (western spadefoot toad)
Lineage: Eukaryota; Metazoa; Chordata; Amphibia; Anura; Pelobatidae
Source: the annotation of a GenBank genome assembly